Molecule: long non-coding RNA, 1171 nt
Filed under: Phasianus colchicus (ring-necked pheasant)
Lineage: Eukaryota; Metazoa; Chordata; Aves; Galliformes; Phasianidae
Description: lncRNA (ENSPCLG00000002185.1)
Source: RNAcentral
UCAAACUUGUUUGUUCUGAGUGCUCAAAUAGAGUCCUUUCAGAAAGAGGAUGAUGGAGCACUCAUGUUUCUCUCUGAAAUUCAUAAAGAAUACCUUCCAUUCCAUCUUCUGCAUUUUUCUUCUCAUGGUUCCUUUGAUCCUUGUUGCAGGGAGUGUUCCUGAUUUUGAAAGUUAAUGUCCAGUUGUGCAUGUGUGGGAAGAGUGGAAUGUUUCAUUCACUGCCAAGGAGGGAAAUAUGAAGAAUACUUGGGCAACAAGAAGGCCACGCUCCAUUUGAGUGAAGUGUGUUGUUGUCAUCUACUGGGGAAAACAUCUCAGAACUGUAUUUCUAAGAAGAAAAAAGAAAAAGAAAGAAACAAAAAAAACACCAAAAAACCACCAUGUAUUUUAGUGUAGAUAUUUUCUUAGCAGUAUUCUGCAGCUGUCAUUGUUGAGCUACAGAAGAAAACAAAAUAUUUAUUGCAAAGAUAUUAGAAGAUAAAUGAGUUAUAAGACCUGGAUAGACCACAGCCACAGAAGCAGGCUGUGUGGCUCAGUAAACUAUCCUUGCUCCUUUCCCAUACUGAUGACAUGCACCAUUCCUUUGCCUCCCAACUCAGUCUUUUUUAUUUUGGCUCCCCUUCUGGAACAGCACCUAGAGGGGCUGUGUGGUCUGUGGCCUUAAGAAUGCUCAAAACUCAUCUGGACCCCUGCCUGAACAACCUGCUCUAACUGAACAGAUUGAGGAGUGUAGUGGGACUAGGUGAUCCAAAGAGUUCCCUUCAAACCUAAACUGUCCUGUGAACACAAGUGCAAGCAAUAAUAAGCAUGAGCUUUGGGAGAGAAUCUUUGGGUUAAAAUGACAUAGAGGUUUAUGGCAGAAUAGGUCAGAACGUUUCUUUGAACAACCAGUUUUAUCUCUUUAUAGUCUUUAUACAGUCAAUUUAGUAGCCAGUCAUUUCUUUUAACCUUCAUCCCUUAUAUCUUUUCUGCAUUCUGAUUUUUGUGCCAGGAUGAAAAAACACUACUAUGAAAAAACAGUGCUAGAAUGGAACACCUGCAGUUUAAGAAGAAAAAAAAAAAGUGAAUGGGGGAAAGGGGAAGAAGGUCUGGCACAUCUGUUCCCGAGAGCUUUUGCUCACCUUGAGCAGAGCUAAUAAUAAAUAUGACAGGCGCAUUAAAGUGUUGUUCA